UACGUAUGGGGCAAGCGUUAUCCGGAUUUACUGGGUGUAAAGGGAGCGUAGGCGGCAUGGCAAGUCAGAAGUGAAAGCCUGGGGCUCAACCCCGGAAUUGCUUUUGAAACUGUCAGGCUAGAGUGUCGGAGGGGUAAGCGGAAUUCCUAGUGUAGCGGUGAAAUGCGUAGAUAUUAGGAGGAACACCGGUGGCGAAGGCGGCUUACUGGACGAUUACUGACGCUGAGGCUCGAAAGCGUGGGGAGCAAACAGGAUUAGAUACCCUAGUAGUCCCUACGACU
RNAcentral lists this ribosomal RNA (281 nucleotides) under Eubacterium ventriosum. RNAcentral's name for it is "partial 16S ribosomal RNA". It matches the Rfam family "Bacterial small subunit ribosomal RNA", at positions 524 to 804 of the family's 1533-position model. Lineage: Bacteria; Bacillati; Bacillota; Clostridia; Eubacteriales; Eubacteriaceae. The record is from RNAcentral.